CGUUAAAGCGGGUGAAAAGCCCGCUCGCCGUAAGCGCAAGGUUUCCUACGCAACGUUCAUCGGCGUAGGGUGAGUCGGCCCCUAAGGCGAGGGCGAGAGCCGUAGUCGAUGGGAAGCAGGUUAAUAUUCCUGCACCGAUUCCAAGUGCGAUGGGGGGACGGAUCGUGGAAGGUUGUCCGGGUGUUGGAAGUCCCGGUUCUUGGCCUGUAGGUGUCUGGUAGGCAAAUCCGCCAGACGUAUGCCGAGGGGUUGAGACGAGCGAGCUUGCUCGCGAAGCAACUGGAAGGGGUCCCAGGAAAAGCCUCUAAGCUUCAGCUUGGAACGACCGUACCGCAAACCGACACUGGUGCGCGAGAUGAGUAUUCUCAGGCGCUUGAGAGAACUCGGGAGAAGGAACUCGGCAAAAUUGACACCGUAACUUCGGAAGAAGGUGUGCCUUGUAGCUUGAGUGUGAACAACACGAGGGCGAAGAGGUUGCAAAAAAUACGGUGGCUGCGACUGUUUACCAAAAACACAAGCACUCUGCAAACAC
RNAcentral lists this ribosomal RNA (532 nucleotides) under uncultured bacterium. Its description in RNAcentral is "bacterial LSU rRNA". It matches the Rfam family "Bacterial large subunit ribosomal RNA", at positions 1310 to 1832 of the family's 2925-position model. The record is from RNAcentral.